This 468-nucleotide ribosomal RNA is filed under the name uncultured bacterium. RNAcentral's name for it is "partial 16S ribosomal RNA". It matches the Rfam family "Bacterial small subunit ribosomal RNA", at positions 28 to 507 of the family's 1533-position model. The record is from RNAcentral.
GACGAACGCUGGCGGCGUGCUUAACACACGCAAGUCGAACGGAAAGGCCCUGCUUUUGUGGGGUGCUCGAGUGGCGAACGGGUGAGUAACACGUGAGUAACCUGCCCUUGACUUUGGGAUAACUUCAGGAAACUGGGGCUAAUACCGGAUAGGAGCUCCUGCUGCAUGGUGGGGGUUGGAAAGUUUCGGCGGUUGGGGAUGGACUCGCGGCUUAUCAGCUUGUUGGUGGGGUAGUGGCUUACCAAGGCUUUGACGGGUAGCCGGCCUGAGAGGGUGACCGGCCACAUUGGGACUGAGAUACGGCCCAGACUCCUACGGGAGGCAGCAGUGGGGAAUAUUGCACAAUGGGCGGAAGCCUGAUGCAGCAACGCCGCGUGCGGGAUGACGGCCUUCGGGUUGUAAACCGCUUUCGCCUGUGACGAACCGUGAGUGACGGUAAUGGGUAAAGAAGCACCGGCUAACUACGUG